Molecule: ribosomal RNA, 497 nt
Filed under: uncultured bacterium
Lineage: Bacteria
Description: partial 16S ribosomal RNA
Rfam family: Bacterial small subunit ribosomal RNA
Source: RNAcentral
GAUGAACGCUGGCGGCGUGCCUAAUACAUGCAAGUCGAGCGAACAGACGAGGAGCUUGCUCCUCUGACGUUAGCGGCGGACGGGUGAGUAACACGUGGAUAACCUACCUAUAAGACUGGGAUAACUUCGGGAAACCGGAGCUAAUACCGGAUAAUAUAUUGAACCGCAUGGUUCAAUAGUGAAGGACGGUUUUGCUGUCACUUAUAGAUGGAUCCGCGCCGCAUUAGCUAGUUGGUAAGGUAACGGCUUACCAAGGCAACGAUGCGUAGCCGACCUGAGAGGGUGAUCGGCCACACUGGAACUGAGACACGGUCCAGACUCCUACGGGAGGCAGCAGUAGGGAAUCUUCCGCAAAGGGCGAAAGCUUGACGGAGCAACGCCGCGUGAGUGAUGAAGGUCUUCGGAUCGUAAAACUCUGUUAUUAGGGAAGAACAAAUGUGUAAGUAACUAUGCACGUCUUGACGGUACCUAAUCAGAAAGCCACGGCUAACUACGUG